This 479-nucleotide ribosomal RNA is filed under the name uncultured bacterium. Its description in RNAcentral is "partial 16S ribosomal RNA". It matches the Rfam family "Bacterial small subunit ribosomal RNA", at positions 28 to 507 of the family's 1533-position model. The record is from RNAcentral.
GAUGAACGCUCGCGGGAGGCCUAACACAUGCAAGCCGAGCGGUAGAGAUCUUUCGGGAUCUUGAGAGCGGCGUACGGGUGCGGAACACGUGUGCAACCUGCCUUUAUCAGGGGGAUAGCCUUUCGAAAGGAAGAUUAAUACCCCAUAAUAUAUUGAAUGGCAUCAUUUGAUAUUGAAAACUCCGGUGGAUAGAGAUGGGCACGCGCAAGAUUAGAUAGUUGGUAGGGUAACGGCCUACCAAGUCAGUGAUCUUUAGGGGGCCUGAGAGGGUGAUCCCCCACACUGGUACUGCGACACGGACCAGACUCCUACGGGAGGCAGCAGUGAGGAAUAUUGGACAAUGGGUGAGAGCCUGAUCCAGCCAUCCCGCGUGAAGGACGACGGCCCUAUGGGUUGUAAACUUCUUUUGUAUAGGGAUAAACCUUUCCACGUGUGGAAAGCUGAAGGUACUAUACGAAUAAGCACCGGCUAACUCCGUG